GAAACGGUGGCUAAUACCGGAUAUGCCGAAAGGUGAAAGGUUAACUGCCUGGAGAUGAGCUCGCGUCUGAUUAGCUAGUUGGUANGGUAAAAGCUUACCAAGGCGACGAUCAGUAGCUGGUCUGAGAGGACGAUCAGCCACACUGGGACUGAGACACGGCCCAGACUCCUACGGGAGGCAGCAGUGGGGAAUUUUCCGCAAUGGGCGAAAGCCUGACGGAGCAAUACCGCGUGAGGGAGGAAGGCUCUUGGGUUGUAAACCUCUUUUCUCAGGGAAGAAAAAUGACGGUACUUGAGGAAUAAGCAUCGGCUAACUCCGUGCCAGCAGCCGCGGUAAUACGGAGGAUGCAAGCGUUAUCCGGAAUGAUUGGGCGUAAAGCGUUCGCAGGUGGCAUUGAAAGUCUGCUGUCAAAGAGUCUGGCUCAACCAGAUACAGGCAGUGGAAACUUCAAAGCUAGAGUGCGGUAGGGGCAGAGGGAAUUCCUGGUGUAGCGGUGAAAUGCGUAGAGUUCAGGAAGAACACCGGUGGCGAAAGCGCUCUGCUAGGCCGCAACUGACACUGAGGGACGAAAGC
This 573-nucleotide ribosomal RNA is filed under the name Rhizonema sp. 'cyanobiont of Moelleropsis nebulosa subsp. frullaniae'. RNAcentral describes it as "SSU rRNA". It matches the Rfam family "Bacterial small subunit ribosomal RNA", at positions 153 to 760 of the family's 1533-position model. The record is from RNAcentral. Lineage: Bacteria; Bacillati; Cyanobacteriota; Cyanophyceae; Nostocales; Rhizonemataceae.